UAUGACCCGGCCCAUUUACAUCUCAAAACCGGUUGAAGCCUAAUCUUCAACCUAGCACCGCAUAUCCCCUCUGUUCUCUCUCCUCCACUCUCUCUUCGUUCCUCUCCCUCUUCCAUUUCUAGCUAACAUCCCAAACCACCUUUAACCAUACACAGACUUUGUCCACCCCCUUUUUAAGCAAAAUCGUCCUUUUUCUGCUUCCAUUUGGCAAUUCUCUGGUCUCACGCUCCAAAUCACAGAAAAAAUCUCCAAAGACCAUAAUAGAUUCCACCAUUUCGGGAAACUAUGAAUACAUCACGUGAUGGUCCGCAAGUUCAUCCAAAAUCGGCCAACGUUCACUUGGAAAAGAUUUUGGACGAGAUUUCGAAAAGGGUCUCAUAUCCCGCCCAAUUUCGAACCUCAAAAAACCCUAGUUUCGUCCUAUAUAUACUAGCAUUAGAGUUCUUUUUUUUGGCAGCUUGAAUGUUCGGAAAAGAAAUACAAAACAAUCUCACUUUACUUCUGGACAUCGAUUUCAAAAUACAAAACAUUUACUCUGUAUUACUCUAUUAUUGUUUCGAAUCCGUCAAUACGAGAGUAGAUUCGAGACCUCCGCGUCCCGUUCACUGCACCCGAAAGAGUUGUUUUGCUGGUUGGAAGCCGAGGUAAUCUAGGGAUUAAUUUGAUCUCUUUUGAUAGUCGGCCAUGCUUAGGAGGUUCUAGUUUUUGUGUCUUUUUUUUUUUUGAUCUUAUACGACACUGGAAUAAGGAUGGCAACAGCCCUUUUGUUUGUCUAAAUUUUCUUUAAAUUGGAGUUUCAGCCCAUUUACAGCCUGCUGGUUGUGGAGAUGUUUCUUUGCUAUUUUCCUUGGCCUCUUCGUUGAUUUUUUGAGUCUCACAGAAUAUUGCAUAAAAGUUUAAAGAAAGGGGUAGAAAUCACUAUUGUUGUAUGCUUCUGUUUACAAUUAGAAAUACAACUUGAUGUGGUGUUUCUCCUGCUGCCAAACAAUACAUAUGCUUAGCCCAUUAAAUCACCCAUUUGAACAAUCGGUUGGGCCUAUCCCCUCCAAGUACAUGUAUAGCUUUGUUUGCUUUGUGCCUUGGCCCUUUUCCUACUUUGUGGGCAUCUAAAUUCAAAUGUGGGCCUGCUGUCCCUGACGUGUAAACUAUUUAUAACCCGGAUUAGACUGUGUGGUGUGAAAUCAGUACUUAUGUAGUUACAUUAAAUUCAUCUUAAGUGUGCGUUUUAGAUUUCGAUAUCCUUUUGUAAAUUACCUUGUUAUUAAUCUUUAUUUUUCUUUCUUUUACAUGUACACUUCGGAGCGAUAUGGGGUCUUCACAAAGAUACAUUAUUCGAAUAGUCUCAUUUUGAGAUUCCGCGGCAUUCGAACUUUGCAUGCGCAUUCCCAUUCGGCUCUCAUUCUCUCGACAUUCAUCCGAACAGAAAACAAAGAGAGUGGCUAGCCGAACGGCUAACCUCUAAAAACUCUACUCCUCUAUGGAAGCCAAAUAUGGCUUUAAUCAUCUUACUUUAUUUUUCGAUGCUUGUUUUUACGUUGGUGUGACUAACAUUUUACCUAGCUGUGGGAUUGUGAUAAAUACUUAGCUGCCUAUGUUUAACCGAGCCUAUUUCAUAUUAGGAUGUCUUAAUUAGUAAAUUUGGGUCUUAAA
This is a long non-coding RNA of Lycium barbarum (goji berry), 1650 nucleotides long. RefSeq lists it as uncharacterized. Lineage: Eukaryota; Viridiplantae; Streptophyta; Magnoliopsida; Solanales; Solanaceae. The record is from RefSeq and is a predicted model, not a curated record. The transcript has 2 exons.